UUUCCGUAGGUGAACCUGCGGAAGGAUCAUUGUCGAAUCCUGCAAUAGCAGAAUGACCCGCUAACACGUCAACAAUUUGGGCAAGCGUCGGGGGGCCUCGGUCUCCUGUCUGCGAAUCCCUGGUAGGUGGUCACUCUCGGGUGGCCACUGGCCUACAAAAUCAUUUGGGCGCGGAAUGCGCCAAGGACCUUAAAACUGAAUUGUACGUCCGUAUCCCGUUAGCGGGCAGCGGCGUCAUUCCAAAACACGACUCUCGACAACGGAUAUCUCGGCUCUC
RNAcentral lists this unclassified non-coding RNA (277 nucleotides) under soil metagenome. RNAcentral describes it as "partial contains small subunit ribosomal RNA, internal transcribed spacer 1, and 5.8S ribosomal RNA". The record is from RNAcentral.